This 430-nucleotide ribosomal RNA is filed under the name bacterium. RNAcentral describes it as "partial 16S ribosomal RNA". It matches the Rfam family "Bacterial small subunit ribosomal RNA", at positions 355 to 776 of the family's 1533-position model. The record is from RNAcentral.
UGGGGAAUAUUGGACAAUGGGCGGAAGCCUGAUCCAGCCAUGCCGCGUGUGUGAAGAAGGCCUUUUGGUUGUAAAGCACUUUAAGCGAGGAGGAGGCUACUUGGAUUAAUACUCUAGGAUAGUGGACGUUACUCGCAGAAUAAGCACCGGCUAACUCUGUGCCAGCAGCCGCGGUAAUACAGAGGGUGCGAGCGUUAAUCGGAUUUACUGGGCGUAAAGCGUGCGUAGGCGGCUUCUUAAGUCGGAUGUGAAAUCCCUGAGCUUAACUUAGGAAUUGCAUUCGAUACUGGGAAGCUAGAGUAUGGGAGAGGAUGGUAGAAUUCCAGGUGUCGCGGUGAAAUGCGUAGAGAUCUGGAGGAAUACCGAUGGCGAAGGCAGCCAUCUGGCCUAAUACUGACGCUGAGGUACGAAAGCAUGGGGAGCAAACAGG